This 549-nucleotide ribosomal RNA is filed under the name uncultured bacterium. RNAcentral describes it as "bacterial SSU rRNA". It matches the Rfam family "Bacterial small subunit ribosomal RNA", at positions 358 to 917 of the family's 1533-position model. The record is from RNAcentral.
GGAAUAUUGCGCAAUGGGCGAAAGCCUGACGCAGCAACGCCGCGUGAGGGAUGAAGGCCUUCGGGUUGUAAACCUCCUUCAGCAGGGAAGAAGGGAAACUGACGGUACCUGCAGAAGAAGCACCGGCUAACUACGUGCCAGCAGCCGCGGUAAUACGUAGGGUGCAAGCGUUGUCCGGAUUUAUUGGGCGUAAAGAGCUCGUAGGCGGUUAGUCACGUCGGAUGUGAAAACCCGGGGCUUAACUCCGGGCCUGCAUUCGAUACGGGCUGACUCGAGUGUUGCAGGGGAGACUGGAACUCCUGGUGUAGCGGUGAAAUGCGCAGAUAUCAGGAAGAACACCGGUGGCGAAGGCGGGUCUCUGGGCAACUACUGACGCUGAGGAGCGAAAGCGUGGGGAGCAAACAGGAUUAGAUACCCUGGUAGUCCACGCCGUAAACGGUGGGCGCUAGGUGUGGGGAACCUUCCACGUUCUCCGUGCCGCAGCUAACGCAUUAAGCGCCCCGCCUGGGGAGUACGGCCGCAAGGCUAAAACUCAAAGGAAUUGACGGA